Molecule: ribosomal RNA, 519 nt
Filed under: uncultured bacterium
Lineage: Bacteria
Description: bacterial SSU rRNA
Rfam family: Bacterial small subunit ribosomal RNA
Source: RNAcentral
AGAGUUGAUCCUGGCUUAGAACGAACGCUGGCGGCGCGUUUAAGCAUGCAAGUCGAGCGGCAAGGGCCUUCGGGCCCCUAGAGCGGCGGACGGGUGAGUAACACGUGGACAAUCUGCCCCCCGGCCCGGGAUAGCCCAGGGAAACCUGGAUUAAUACCGGAUGAGACGGGACCCGCGAUGGCGGGACCCGGGAAAGGCGCUGCGGCGCCGCCGGGGGAUGAGUCUGCGUCCCAUUAGCUAGACGGCGGGGUAACGGCCCACCGUGGCGACGAUGGGUAGCCGGCCUGAGAGGGUGGACGGCCACAUUGGAACUGAGACACGGUCCAGACUCCUACGGGAGGCAGCAGCUAAGAAUCUUCCGCAAUGGGCGAAAGCCUGACGGAGCCGACGCCGCGUGAACGAAGAAGGCCGUGAGGUUGUAAAGUUCUUUUCGGGAGGGGGAACAACCGUGGCAGGGAAUGGCCGCGGGAUGACGUGAAUCCCGGAAUAAGCCCCGGCUAACUACGUGCCAGCAGCCGC